GUUAGUGAGCAUACUACGUUGGGAACGUCAGCUUUUAUCCGAUCACCGAAGUUAAGCAGUGUUAGGAGCGGUUAGUAAUUGUAUUCAUGACCAGCUGGGAAUACUUCAUGUUUAUUGGCU
RNAcentral lists this ribosomal RNA (120 nucleotides) under Trichobilharzia regenti. The record is from RNAcentral. Lineage: Eukaryota; Metazoa; Platyhelminthes; Trematoda; Strigeidida; Schistosomatidae.